UAUGAAUUUUGUAAAGAAAGUUGUUGGAAUGAUAGUAUAUUCAGUACUCUUUUAUAAUACGGAUGUUAAUAGUAAACUAUGAAGGAAUUGGUAGAGUAAAACGAGCAGAAAAUGAAUGAUAUAAAAACUAGAAUAAUUAGUUAUAAAAACUAGUGGAUGUUACUUUAGUAUAUAGAGUUAAUUAGUUAUCAUUGGACCUUGGAACCAAUUAAAAGUUUAAUUCUUUUGAAUUAUUGUUCGAUGUAUCGCUGAUACUACGACCACAAGAAGUUAUGAAUGAUAAAAGAACU
Molecule: long non-coding RNA, 290 nt
Filed under: Brassica napus (rape)
Lineage: Eukaryota; Viridiplantae; Streptophyta; Magnoliopsida; Brassicales; Brassicaceae
Description: long non-coding RNA (BNAP_LNC024616)
Source: RNAcentral